AUCCCCUCAAAAUUUUUGGGAGCAAAUCUUCCCUUCACGACUAACCUUUGCUGUCCAUCAAGUGAUCCACUAGUCCCCAACUCAGCAAGUAGGAAGGUCAUGACAUGGUCUGGCUGCCGAUGCAUUGUCUUGCAGAGAUCCAUGAAGUUUACAAAAACAGUUUUCUUUGUUCCCUCACGAAGAACUUGUGGAGGCCUCAUCACAGUUCUCCGCCU
RNAcentral lists this unclassified non-coding RNA (215 nucleotides) under Hevea brasiliensis (rubber tree). The record is from RNAcentral. Lineage: Eukaryota; Viridiplantae; Streptophyta; Magnoliopsida; Malpighiales; Euphorbiaceae.